Mycena rebaudengoi is the source of this 93-nucleotide non-coding RNA. The record is from the annotation of a GenBank genome assembly. Lineage: Eukaryota; Fungi; Basidiomycota; Agaricomycetes; Agaricales; Mycenaceae.
GACCCGUUGGCGCACUCGGCAGCGCACCCACUCUCAAUUGCUUACUCGUCUGGCUUUCUGUGGGAGGCCCCAGUUCGACUCUGGGAUGGGUCA